This 506-nucleotide ribosomal RNA is filed under the name uncultured bacterium. RNAcentral describes it as "partial 16S ribosomal RNA". It matches the Rfam family "Bacterial small subunit ribosomal RNA", at positions 29 to 523 of the family's 1533-position model. The record is from RNAcentral.
AGUGAACGCUGGCGGUAGGCCUAACACAUGCAAGUCGAACGGCAGCACAGGAGAGCUUGCUCUCUGGGUGGCGAGUGGCGGACGGGUGAGGAAUACAUCGGAAUCUACUCUGUCGUGGGGGAUAACGUAGGGAAACUUACGCUAAUACCGCAUACGACCUACGGGUGAAAGCAGGGGACCUUCGGGCCUUGCGCGAUUGAAUGAGCCGAUGUCGGAUUAACUAGUUGGCGGGGUAAAGGCCCACCAAGGCGACGAUCCGUAGCUGGUCUGAGAGGAUGAUCAGCCACACUGGAACUGAGACACGGUCCAGACUCCUACGGGAGGCAGCAGUGGGGAAUAUUGGACAAUGGGCGCAAGCCUGAUCCAGCCACACCGCGUGGGUGAAGAAGGCCUUCGGGUUGUAAAGCCCUUUUGUUGGGAAAGAAAUCCAGCUGGCUAAUACCCGGUUGGGGUGACGGUACCCAAAGAAUAAGCACCGGCUAACUUCGUGCCAGCAGCCGCCGUAA